Long non-coding RNA from Entelurus aequoreus (snake pipefish), 951 nucleotides. RefSeq lists it as uncharacterized. The record is from RefSeq and is a predicted model, not a curated record. The transcript is spliced from 3 exons. Lineage: Eukaryota; Metazoa; Chordata; Actinopteri; Syngnathiformes; Syngnathidae.
GACCAGCAGUAAGUUACUGUAAAACCUACAGUGUAAUUCAGUAUUUUUCAGACUUGUUUCUUGGGUCCGCCCACAAUUCGUCCAACCGAGCUUCAUUUCACCUGGCCGACCCUGCUAAAUCCAUCCUACUGCAUCGUGUGUUUUUGAUAACAAGUUGCUGGUGACAAAGUCACAAUAAAACGUUGGAUGAUCAGCAUGGAAGGUGAUGUCAUCUGCAAAGGCGUCCAACCUAGCUUAAUCUCAGGGCUUGCUGCCCUUCUUGCCACCUACUAUGUGUUCAACUUGGAAUACCAAGAGGAAGGUCCUCGGACAUUGGAAUUUGUUCAAAGGGACCGAAGCACCAGUUUGACUCUAGGAUACAGAGAAGGUAGGUAAUGUGCAGGUAAAGAUAUGUUGACUGGGUCAAAGAAGGAAGCACCUGUUUGACCCCAGGAUGCAGAAAAAGUAGGUAAUUUGCAGGUAAAGAUAUGUUGACUGGAUGAUGGCAGGAAGCACCAGCUUGACCCGAGAAUGCAGAGCAAGUAGGUAAUGUGCGGGUGAAGAUAUGUUGAAUGGGUAAAGGCAGGAAGCACCAGUGUGACCCCACCAUGCAGGGAAGGUAGGUAAUGUGCGGGUGAAGGUAUGUUGAAUGGGUGAAAGAAGGAAGCGCAGGUGUGGUCGAGGCCAUGCAGACAAGGUAGGUAUGUGCAGGUGAAGAUAUGUUGUAUGGUGAAAGAAAGAUGCACCAGUGUGACCCAAGGAUGCAGGGAAGGUAGGUAAUGUGCAGGUAAAGAUAUGUUGAAUGGGUGAAGGCAGGAAACACCAGCUAGACGCCAGGAUACAGAGAAGGUAGGUAAUGUGCAGGUAAAGAUAUGUUGAAUGAGUAAAGGCAGGAAACACCAGCUUGACUCCAGGAUACAGAGAAGGUAGGUAAUGUGCAGGUAACGAUAUGUUGAAUGGGUAAAGGUAGAA